CGACGGCGUGGCGCGGGGGUGUGUGCGCGUUGCCGCCGCGCACCCGGCGACAGUGGCGCUCGGGCCGCUGGUCGGUGA
Molecule: transfer RNA, 78 nt
Filed under: Betaproteobacteria bacterium
Lineage: Bacteria; Pseudomonadati; Pseudomonadota; Betaproteobacteria
Description: tRNA-Gly
Source: RNAcentral